RNAcentral lists this ribosomal RNA (630 nucleotides) under uncultured fungus. RNAcentral describes it as "eukaryotic LSU rRNA". The stretch from base 199 to 352 matches the Rfam family "5.8S ribosomal RNA". Lineage: Eukaryota; Fungi. The record is from RNAcentral.
UCCGUAGGUGAACCUGCGGAAGGAUCAUUAGUGAAUUAAACAUGCUUGGUGUCUUCGCUUCGGCAAGGCCCUUGCUUAAAUCACAUCCUAACACCUGUGAACUGUAAGACGUAUGAUGAGGUCUUUGGCCAAGUCAUCGUCUGCCCAUUUUUAACAAACAAUUAAUGUAACAAACGUAGUCUUAUUAUAACCUAAUAAAACUUUCAACAACGGAUCUCUUGGCUCUCGCAUCGAUGAAGAACGCAGCGAAAUGCGAUAAGUAAUGUGAAUUGCAGAAUUCAGUGAAUCAUCGAAUCUUUGAACGCACCUUGCGCUCUUUGGUAUUCCGAAGAGCAUGCCUGUUUGAGUGUCAUGAAAAUAUCAACCUUGACUUGGGUUUUGUGCUCUAGUCUUGGCUUGGAAUUGGGUGCUUGCCGCUUUUACGAGCGGCUCACCUUAAAUGUAUUAGCUGGAUCUGUCUUUGAGACUUGGUUUGACUUGGCGUAAUAAGUAUUUCGCUAAGGACAUUCUUCGGAGUGGCCUCGUUUCUAAGACGCUUGUCCGCUUCCCAAUACAAGUUCCACCUCGUGGACAUGACUUUUUAUUAUCUGGCCUCAAAUCAGGUAGGACUACCCGCUGAACUUAAGCAUA